AAAAACUUAACAAAGACCUGACCUAUCCUGAAGGGACAACCAUGCAGUAGUAACCUGGAAGCCCUGCACAAAGGAUAAAGGAGAUUUAUUUGUGAAUAUAGUCAUUCUCUGACUGCUUCUGGGCCACCGUGAGAUGUCAUCACAAGGAAUGUCCAUGUAACACUGAGUAAUGGUGCUGUAUCCUGUUUCAAAGCCUCCUGUGAUUCCUCAUGCUGUCGGAGAGCAUUUAAAGCUCACUAGCUCAGUCCACAGGGCUUGCCCUUACUGGGCCUGUCUCGGUUCAUGGAACACCUAAUGCUCAGCUACAGAAUAUUAGCAUGCUGACUGGCUUCUUAGAGGAAAGGCACAAAUUAGAGCCUAGGCAUCCGACGGGAGCUGCUCGGGUUCUCACACGGAUCCAGCUGAAGAUUCAGCUUGCCCAUCAAGACAAUUUCAUCUCUCAAAUGAAUUAUGGCUGGGAGAUUUAUUAGAGGAGUGACAGAUGAUAAAUGAGUUAUCUGUCAUCUUUACAUACUUCCUCUUAUGGCAGCUGAAUGCUGUCACUCAUUUCUUCAGAUGGAAUUCAGAUGUAAAAGAAAGAAGAAAUGAGAAGAAGUUAAAUGACUCCUUUAAAAGAAAGAAGAAUUUCAAGCAGCACUUGCACACUGAUUUCUAACUAUGCUUGUACAAAAUCCACACAUAAUAUUUUAUAUACCAUGUGAAUUUUUUGAAUUUUUUUUUUCUGAGCCAUCACUAUAUGCCGUCAUUUGGAAUAGAUAGGGUAAUUUGACAGGAGCGUAGCAUAACUGUCUCCUGAGGAGCUUCAUCCAGCAGCUGAUGAAAACAGAUGCAGAGACCCACAGCCAAACAUCGGGUGGAGCUUGGGGAGUCUUGUGCAAA
RNAcentral lists this long non-coding RNA (879 nucleotides) under Mus pahari (shrew mouse). Its description in RNAcentral is "lncRNA (MGP_PahariEiJ_G0005082.1)". Lineage: Eukaryota; Metazoa; Chordata; Mammalia; Rodentia; Muridae. The record is from RNAcentral.